RNAcentral lists this ribosomal RNA (261 nucleotides) under uncultured archaeon. RNAcentral describes it as "partial 16S ribosomal RNA". It matches the Rfam family "Archaeal small subunit ribosomal RNA", at positions 748 to 1008 of the family's 1478-position model. The record is from RNAcentral.
CAGCCGUAAACUAUGCGCGUUAGGUGUAUCGGUGACCACGAGUUACCGAGGUGCCGAAGGGAAACCGUGAAACGUGCCGCCUGGGAAGUACGGUCGCAAGGCUGAAACUUAAAGGAAUUGGCGGGGGAGCACCACAACAGGUGGAGCCUGCGGUUUAAUUGGACUCAACGCCGGGAAGCUCACCGGAUAAGACAGCUGAAUGAUUGUCAAUCUGAAGGUUUUACAUGACUAGCUGAGAGGAGGUGCAUGGCGUCAGUGACU